This 229-nucleotide ribosomal RNA is filed under the name uncultured bacterium. Its description in RNAcentral is "partial 16S ribosomal RNA". It matches the Rfam family "Bacterial small subunit ribosomal RNA", at positions 568 to 796 of the family's 1533-position model. The record is from RNAcentral.
CUCGUAGGCGGUUUGUUAAGUCGUAUGUGAAAGCCCUGGGCUCAACCUGGGAACUGCAUUCGAUACUGGCAAACUAGAGUAUAGAAGAGGCAAGUGGAAUUCCAGGUGUAGCGGUGAAAUGCGUAGAUAUCUGGAGGAACAUCAGUGGCGAAGGCGACUUGCUGGUCUAAUACUGACGCUGAGGAGCGAAAGCGUGGGGAGCAAACAGGAUUAGAUACCCUGGUAGUCC